RNAcentral lists this ribosomal RNA (440 nucleotides) under uncultured bacterium. RNAcentral's name for it is "bacterial SSU rRNA". It matches the Rfam family "Bacterial small subunit ribosomal RNA", at positions 338 to 795 of the family's 1533-position model. The record is from RNAcentral.
CCUACGGGUGGCAGCAGUGGGGAAUAUUGGACAAUGGGCGCAAGCCUGAUCCAGCCAUGCCGCGUGAGUGAUGAAGGCCUUAGGGUUGUAAAGCUCUUUCGCACGCGAAGAUAAUGACGGUAGCGUGAGAAGAAGCCCCGGCUAACUUCGUGCCAGCAGCCGCGGUAAUACGAAGGGGGCUAGCGUUGUUCGGAAUCACUGGGCGUAAAGCGUACGUAGGCGGACCGUUAAGUCGGGGGUGAAAUCCCAGGGCUCAACCCUGGAACUGCCUCCGAUACUGGCGGUCUGGAGUCCGGGAGAGGUGAGUGGAACUCCUAGUGUAGAGGUGAAAUUCGUAGAUAUUAGGAAGAACACCAGUGGCGAAGGCGGCUCACUGGCCCGGUACUGACGCUGAGGUACGAAAGCGUGGGGAGCAAACAGGAUUAGAUACCCCUGUAGUC